RNAcentral lists this ribosomal RNA (387 nucleotides) under uncultured bacterium. RNAcentral's name for it is "bacterial SSU rRNA". It matches the Rfam family "Bacterial small subunit ribosomal RNA", at positions 29 to 417 of the family's 1533-position model. The record is from RNAcentral.
AUUGAACGCUGGCGGCAUGCCUUACACAUGCAAGUCGAACGGCAGCACGGGAGCAAUCCUGGUGGCGAGUGGCGAACGGGUGAGUAAUAUAUCGGAACGUGCCCAGUAGUGGGGGAUAGCCCGGCGAAAGCCGGAUUAAUACCGCAUGAGACCUGAGGGUGAAAGCGGGGGAUCGCAAGACCUCGCGCUAUUGGAGCGGCCGAUAUCAGAUUAGCUAGUUGGUGGGGUAAAGGCCUACCAAGGCAACGAUCUGUAGUUGGUCUGAGAGGACGACCAGCCACACUGGGACUGAGACACGGCCCAGACUCCUACGGGAGGCAGCAGUGGGGAAUUUUGGACAAUGGGCGCAAGCCUGAUCCAGCAAUGCCGCGUGCAGGAAGAAGGCCU